This is a long non-coding RNA of Neltuma alba, 1153 nucleotides long. RefSeq lists it as uncharacterized. NCBI's taxonomy places the organism in Eukaryota, Viridiplantae, Streptophyta, Magnoliopsida, Fabales, Fabaceae. The record is from RefSeq and is a predicted model, not a curated record. The transcript is spliced from 3 exons.
UGGUCUCGUAAAGAAGCUCAGGUCAGACACACGUCCAGUUAAUACCACCCAAUAUCUCAAACUUAUCGAACAGAAGAACCCCACAAUUUGUUUCACCAAGAGGUUGAGGCAAGAAGGUGCUGAGUGCAGGGUGUGCUUAUCUGAAUUCCAGGAAGGGGAAAAGGUGAGGAACUUGAAAUGUAAACACACAUUUCACAGAGAUUGCUUGGACAAGUGGUUGCAGCAAUAUUGGGCUACCUGCCCUCUUUGCAGGAACCAAGUUCUGCCAGAAGAUGUUGUGGCCAAGUAUCGUGAACUUCAGAAUCAGAGGGACUACGUCUUCUCCUUUUGGGAUCUCGCUGAAUAAUUUGGAUGUACCUUCUGCUAGAUUGAAGGAGACGAGUCAUGGGAGAUAUUUUGAGAAAAAAGGUAGAGGUUUUAAUUAAUUCUGGUGUCCCACAUCUGAAGUGAAAAAUCUCAGGCAGAUAUUUUUGUGAGAAACUCGUCUGCACGACCAUCCCUUUUGAGGAUUAAUUUCCGGUGAAAGGACUGUCUAAUCCGUAUGGAUUUUCAUCAUGAAGGAAGCUCAACUUGAUUCCUGGCAGAGAUGACAGCUUAGCUUCAAGUGCAAGGCAAUAGGAGUAUAUAGUAAUUUCAAGGGGACACUCCUUAAUGCAUUGGUGAGAUGUUAGGUAAGGUUAGGAGGCUUCAUGCUCAAAGCACUUUUUUUUGGGAGGGUGAAAAUUUGCCCACAAACCAGAAUGGCCUGAAACAGACAAGUAUUUAGCUCUUGGAUAGCUCGAAGGAAAGACAUGUAGGGUAGGGUACUCAAUUUGCAAAGCCAAGGAAGAAAGAGGAGGCAACACAACUUAGAAAAUCAUAGUUGUAAUGGUUUCUCUCACUGGAGACAGAAACCAUCAAGCCAUCAGCAUCAUUCAGGAUUUUCGAUGCUCUUUUUCUUUUCUUUGUAAUCUGUUUGUUUUCCGAAAUCUCUCCUGAAGAACUACAGCCAACCGUUACAAUUUUGUUUUUGUUUUUGUUUUAAUUGCUUCCCUUGUAAAGUUACCCUGUCUCCCAAUUUUCUCAGCAAGCCUGUGAUUAUGUUAAUGACUUUUGUGAAGUGCAUGAAUGAUCAGAGUUGAAUAAGGCAAGUAAUAUUGCCUUAUGGAAACAA